UACGGGGGGGGUAAGCGUUGUUCGGAAUUACUGGGCGUAAAGGGCUCGUAGGCGGCCAACUAAGUCAGACGUGAAAUCCCCAGGCUCAACCUGGGAACUGCGUCUGAUACUGGAUGGCUUGAAUCCGGGAGAGGGAUGCAGAAUUCCAGGUGUAGCGGUGAAAUGCGUAGAUAUCUGGAGGAAUACCGGUGGCGAAGGCGGCAUCCUGGACUGGCAUUGACGCUGAGGAGCGAAAGCCAGGGGAGCAAACGGG
Molecule: ribosomal RNA, 253 nt
Filed under: uncultured bacterium
Lineage: Bacteria
Description: partial 16S ribosomal RNA
Rfam family: Bacterial small subunit ribosomal RNA
Source: RNAcentral